This 39-nucleotide transfer RNA is filed under the name Canis lupus (wolf). Its description in RNAcentral is "partial tRNA-Arg". Lineage: Eukaryota; Metazoa; Chordata; Mammalia; Carnivora; Canidae. The record is from RNAcentral.
AUGAUAAUUAGUUUAAGCCAAAAANCAAAUGAUUUCGAC